RNAcentral lists this unclassified non-coding RNA (224 nucleotides) under plant metagenome. RNAcentral describes it as "partial contains small subunit ribosomal RNA, internal transcribed spacer 1, and 5.8S ribosomal RNA". The record is from RNAcentral.
UCUCCGUAGGUGAACCUGCGGAAGGAUCAUUAAAGAAUCGCCCCGUUUAUUACAAAUGGGUUCUAUUCCCAAACCGUGUAUACAUACCUUUGUUGCUUUGGCAGGCCGCCUCCGGGCGUCGGAUCCGGCUGAGAGUGCCUGCCAGAGGACCCAAACUCUGUAUUUAGUGAUGUCUGAGUACUAUAUAAUAGUUAAAACUUUCAACAACGGAUCUCUUGGUUCUG